AAGGAGUCUAACAUGCCUGCGAGUGUUUGGGUGGAAAACCCAUGCGCGUAAUAAAAGUGAAAGUUGAGACCUCUGUCGUGGAGGGCAUCGACGCCCGGUCUUGAGCUUCGGCGACGGAUCCGCGGUUGAGCAUGUAUGUUGGGACCCGAAAGAUGGUGAACUAUGCCUGAAUAGGGUGAAGCCAGAGGAAACUCUGGUGGAGGCUCGUAGCGAUUCUGACGUGCAAAUCGAUCGUCAAAUUUGGGUAUAGGGGCGAAAGACUAAUCGAACCAUCUAGUAGCUGGUUCCUGC
Molecule: unclassified non-coding RNA, 291 nt
Filed under: uncultured fungus
Lineage: Eukaryota; Fungi
Description: partial contains 5.8S rRNA, ITS2 and 28S rRNA
Rfam family: Eukaryotic large subunit ribosomal RNA
Source: RNAcentral